Molecule: ribosomal RNA, 333 nt
Filed under: Triticum aestivum (bread wheat)
Lineage: Eukaryota; Viridiplantae; Streptophyta; Magnoliopsida; Poales; Poaceae
Description: partial small subunit ribosomal RNA
Source: RNAcentral
AUGGUGCUGGGCGGGUGCAACUUCAAGACCACCGUGGCCUGCUCCGAGGAGGUUGGACACGUCAGCGAGGUCAGCCUCGCCGCGGAGAACGCCGAAGGCGCGGCGGUGAGCGGCGAGGGUGCCCUCCGGCUUCUGGCCGCGGCAAUGGAGGGCCGAAGGAGGGGAGGCGAGAGAGAGCGGGAGGAGGCCAAGGCGAGGUACGAGGUGUUCGUCAGGAGCAAGAAGGGGAGGAAGGAGAGCAAGGCGCGAAGAGAGGUGCUCAUAGACCUGUGCUGCUCCGCCGCCAGCGCCGUCGCCGUGCUGGCCUUCUUCGCCACCGUCGUGCUCCGGUGA